UUUAGCAUUUUAAACUCUGUACAUAACACUAUUUUGUCAGUUAACCUUUGUUAAAAUAUCAUUUUGUUCGAUAAAGUGGGAAACACUGUGGCCUUAUAGUCAUUGCAGAGGACUCCGGUCAGGGAGAGGAAUAAAACACUUAGACGCUUUUAAAAUGUUACGAGAACCGGAAACUCAGAGAAAAGCUGAGAAUUUCCUUCUGUGAUUUGUUGGACUGGAACGGACUUUAACUUAAUUCAAAUCCAGAUUGAGACUAGGAUCAUCGUACGCGUUCCGGAUUGGCUGUCUUAUGUCGGGUAAUUAAAAGAAAGUCUAAAGGUCAUUCCAAGUGAACAGAAAGGUGCUAAUAAUUGCGCAGUAUCGACUCUGGAACUGAAAGGAAACAACUUGACGAGUAUACGGGUGUAUAAAGACUAGUUCGCGAAGAUCCAGUGUUAUCAACUGAUAUGGGUAUUUUUUAAGUCGGAAGAACAGAGUAAAAUUUGAGCAGAAACAUCUUUGUACAGAGCAGGCUAUUUAAAGAAAGGUUAGAGGUGCGAGCAAUUUACGAGAGGGCUGACGACAUUGCCA
Long non-coding RNA from Orbicella faveolata, 570 nucleotides. The record is from RefSeq and is a predicted model, not a curated record. NCBI's taxonomy places the organism in Eukaryota, Metazoa, Cnidaria, Anthozoa, Scleractinia, Merulinidae.